Long non-coding RNA from Xiphophorus maculatus (southern platyfish), 393 nucleotides. RefSeq lists it as uncharacterized. The record is from RefSeq and is a predicted model, not a curated record. The transcript is spliced from 5 exons. NCBI's taxonomy places the organism in Eukaryota, Metazoa, Chordata, Actinopteri, Cyprinodontiformes, Poeciliidae.
CAACAUCCAAAGAGCAACACUACAUCCUCUUCUCUUGUCUCUGAGAAAACCUACUGAAGGUAAAAUCACUGCAACCAUGCUGAAGGUAGCACUUAUUCUUGGAUGCCUCCUGAGCCUCAUUGUGGCUGAAACUAUGGAAGAACAGCGUUUUGCUCGUUCACACGGUAGUUCUAACUCCAGAGAGAAAACUACGACCACGACUACGGUUGCAGGAGCAACUACAGCUUCAUUAACUCUGACCCAGCUCCUGGCCCUGCUCCGACAACUACUCAAUCAGUAAUGAUCAAAUUCUGUGGCUGCUGUUUUAACCAGAUGCCUUCUAUUCACUCAACAAUUGGACAAAUAUCAUUCUUCACCAAGUUUUGACUAAAAAUAAACAUGUUCAGUGCAAAA